RNAcentral lists this ribosomal RNA (270 nucleotides) under uncultured prokaryote. RNAcentral's name for it is "partial 16S ribosomal RNA". It matches the Rfam family "Bacterial small subunit ribosomal RNA", at positions 524 to 794 of the family's 1533-position model. The record is from RNAcentral.
UACGGAGGAUCCGAGCGUUAUCCGGAUUUAUUGGGUUUAAAGGGUGCGCAGGGGGAGAUUAAGUCGGCGGUGAAAUUUUGCAGCUCAACUGUAAAAGUGCCUUCGAAACUGGUUUCCUUGAGUGUAGAUGAAGUAGGCGGAAUUUGUGGUGUAGCGGUGAAAUGCAUAGAUAUCACGAGGAACUCCGAUUGCGCAGGCAGCUUACUAAACUACUACUGACGCUCAGGCACGAAAGCGUGGGGAUCAAACAGGAUUAGAUACCCGCGUAGU